This 253-nucleotide ribosomal RNA is filed under the name uncultured bacterium. RNAcentral's name for it is "partial 16S ribosomal RNA". It matches the Rfam family "Bacterial small subunit ribosomal RNA", at positions 524 to 776 of the family's 1533-position model. The record is from RNAcentral.
UACGUAUGGUGCAAGCGUUAUCCGGAAUGACUGGGUGUAAAGGGAGCGUAGACGGUUGUACAAGUCUGAUGUGAAAGCCCACGGCUCAACUGUGGGAGUGCAUUGGAAACUGUAGAACUAGAGUAUCGGAGAGGCAAGUGGGAUUCCUAGUGUAGCGGUGAAAUGCGUAGAUAUUAGGAGGAACACCAGUGGCGAAGGCGGCUUGCUGGACGAAAACUGACGUUGAGGCUCGAAAGCGUGGGGAGCAAACAGG